Molecule: non-coding RNA, 116 nt
Filed under: Gordonia araii
Lineage: Bacteria; Bacillati; Actinomycetota; Actinomycetes; Mycobacteriales; Gordoniaceae
Description: SAM-IV sequence
Rfam family: SAM (S-adenosyl methionine) riboswitch aptamer
About the family: SAM-IV is a mRNA element that regulates gene expression via direct sensing of S-adenosylmethionine (SAM or AdoMet).
Source: RNAcentral
GGUCCAGAGCGUCAGCGCGAAGUCCCGGCUCGCUGACCGGCAACCCUCCAACCGCGGUGGGGUGCUCCGGGGUGAUGACCUGGUCGUGCGGAAACGCCGCACGGCAAGCGCGGGUC